GACGAACGCUGGCGGCGUGCUUAACACAUGCAAGUCGAACGGUGAAGGGGUCUGCUUUUGUGGGCCCUGGAUGAGUGGCGAACGGGUGAGUAACACGUGAGUAACCUGUCCCCUUCUUCUGGAUAACCGCAUGAAAGUGUGGCUAAUACGGGAUAUUCUGGGUCUGUCGCAUGAUGGGUCUGGGAAAGAUUGCGCCUUUGGGUGUUUUUGGUGGGGGAUGGGCUCGCGGCCUAUCAGCUUGUUGGUGGGGUGAUGGCCUACCAAGGCGGUGACGGGUAGCCGGCCUGAGAGGGUGGACGGUCACACUGGGACUGAGACACGGCCCAGACUCCUACGGGAGGCAGCAGUGGGGAAUAUUGCACAAUGGGCGCAAGCCUGAUGCAGCGACGCCGCGUGAGGGAUGGAGGCCUUCGGGUUGUAAACCUCUUUCGCCAGUGAAGCAGGCCUGCUCCUUGUGGGUGGGUUGACGGUAGCUGGAUAAGAAGCGCCGGCUAACUACGUG
Molecule: ribosomal RNA, 502 nt
Filed under: uncultured bacterium
Lineage: Bacteria
Description: partial 16S ribosomal RNA
Rfam family: Bacterial small subunit ribosomal RNA
Source: RNAcentral